AACGCCGCGUGAGUGAAGACAGCCUUCGGGUUGUAAAGCUCUGUCCUUAGGGAAGAAUAGCAUAGGCAGGAAAUGGUCUAUGUGUGACGGUACCUGAGGAGGAAGCCCUGGCUAACUACGUGCCAGCAACUGCGGUGACUGAGCGGGCUGGCAAGGCGCAUA
This 162-nucleotide ribosomal RNA is filed under the name uncultured bacterium. RNAcentral's name for it is "partial 16S ribosomal RNA". It matches the Rfam family "Bacterial small subunit ribosomal RNA", at positions 393 to 539 of the family's 1533-position model. The record is from RNAcentral.